GCGAGUCGAGAGGGUUCGGCCCUCGGCAGACUGCUCAGUAACACGUGGAUAACCUACCCUUAGGUGGAAGAUAAUCUCGGGAAACUGAGAAUAAUACUCCAUAGAUCUAGGAUGCUGGAAUGCACCUAGAUUGAAAGCUCUGGCGCCUAAGGAUGGGUCUGCGGACUAUCAGGUUGUAGUCAGGGUAAAGACCUGACUAGCCUACGACGGAUAUGGGUUGUGAGAGCAAUAGCCCAGAGACGAUAUCUGAGACACGAUAUCGGGCCCUACGGGGCGCAGCAGGCGCGAAAUCUUCACAAUGUGCGAAAGCACGAUGAGGGGAUCCCAAGUGCUGGCACGUAAGUGUCAGCUGUUUCUUUGUCUAAAAAACAAAGAGAGUAAGAGCUGGGUAAGACGGGUGCCAGCCGCCGCGGUAAUACCUGCAGCUCAAGUGGUGGCCGCUAUUAUUGGGCCUAAAACGUCCGUAGCCGGUUUAGUAAAUGCUUGGGUAAAUUGUGUAGCUUAACUAUACGAAUACCGGGUAGACUGCUAAACUUGGGACCGGGAGAGGCUAGAGGUACUCCUAGGGUAGAGGUGAAAUUCUGUAAUCCUAGGGGGACCACCAGUGGCGAAGGCGUCUAGCUAGAACGGGUCUGACGGUGAGGGACGAAGCCCUGGGGCGCAAACCGGAUUAGAUACCCGGGUAGUCCAGGGUGUAAACGCUGCUUGCUUGAUGUUAGUUGGGCUCCGAGCCCAACUAGUGU
This 743-nucleotide ribosomal RNA is filed under the name uncultured archaeon. RNAcentral describes it as "bacterial SSU rRNA". It matches the Rfam family "Archaeal small subunit ribosomal RNA", at positions 53 to 801 of the family's 1478-position model. The record is from RNAcentral.